GAUGAACGCUGGCGGCGUGCCUAAUACAUGCAAGUCGAGCGAACAGACGAGGAGCUUGCUCCUCUGACGUUAGCGGCGGACGGGUGAGUAACACGUGGAUAACCUACCUAUAAGACUGGGAUAACUUCGGGAAACCGGAGCUAAUACCGGAUAAUAUAUUGAACCGCAUGGUUCAAUAGUGAAAGACGGUUUUGCUGUCACUUAUAGAUGGAUCCGCGCCGCAUUAGCUAGUUGGUAAGGUAACGGCUUACCAAGGCAACGAUGCGUAGCCGACCUGAGAGGGUGAUCGGCCACACUGGAACUGAGACACGGUCCAGACUCCUACGGGAGGCAGCAGUAGGGAAUCUUCGGCAAUGGGCGAAAGCUUGACGGAGCAACGCCGCGGGAGUGAUGAAGGUCUUCGGAUCGUAAAACUCUGUUAUUAGGGAAGAACAAAUGUGUAAGUAACUGUGCACGUCUUGACGGUACCUAAUCAGAAAGCCACGGCUAACUACGUG
This 497-nucleotide ribosomal RNA is filed under the name uncultured bacterium. Its description in RNAcentral is "partial 16S ribosomal RNA". It matches the Rfam family "Bacterial small subunit ribosomal RNA", at positions 28 to 507 of the family's 1533-position model. The record is from RNAcentral.